Oncorhynchus tshawytscha (Chinook salmon) is the source of this 352-nucleotide long non-coding RNA. Lineage: Eukaryota; Metazoa; Chordata; Actinopteri; Salmoniformes; Salmonidae. The record is from Ensembl.
GAGGGAGAGAGGGAGUGAGAUUGGGGAAAACAGAGGGAGAGAGGAGAGGAGAUUAGGGGAAAACAGAGUGAGAGAGGGAGUGAUAUUAUGGGAAAACAGACGGAGAGAGGGAGUGAGAUUAGGGGAAAACAGAGGGAGAGAGGGAGUGAGAUUAGGGAAAAACAGAGGGAGAGUGGGAGUGAGAUUAGGGGUAAACAGAGGGAGAGAGGGAGUGAGAUAAAGGGAAAACAGAGGGAGAGAGGGAGUGAGAUUAGGGGAAAACAGAGGGAGAGAGGGAGUGAGAUUAAGGGAAAACAGAGGGAGAGAGGGGGUGAGAUUAGGGGAAAACAGAGGAGAGAGGGAGUGAGAUUAG